UACGGAGGGGGCUAGCGUUGUUCGGAAUUACUGGGCGUAAAGCGCACGUAGGCGGCUUUGCAAGUCAGAGGUGAAGGCCCGGGGCUCAACCCCGGAAUUGCCUUUGAGACUGCAUCGCUAGAAUUGUGGAGAGGUAAGUGGAAUUCCGAGUGUAGAGGUGAAAUUCGUAGAUAUUCGGAAGAACACCAGUGGCGAAGGCGACUUACUGGACACAUAUUGACGCUGAGGUGCGAAAGCGUGGGGAGCAAACAGG
Molecule: ribosomal RNA, 253 nt
Filed under: uncultured bacterium
Lineage: Bacteria
Description: partial 16S ribosomal RNA
Rfam family: Bacterial small subunit ribosomal RNA
Source: RNAcentral